CCAUGGUUGGCCAGUCUGAAGUCCUCCCUACAGAGAAGAUGAAGACAGUAUUAAGCUCAUGAUCAGAUGAAUUGGUUGGACAGUGCCAUGGUGGUAUCUCCAGACUGAUGACGAGCUGAAACUUUCUACUUUAUCUGCUAGCCAUGACAACACUGGUUCUUCAUGCAGUGAUGAUGAAGGUACCUUGUCUGUGCUACACUGCAGUAUCUUCCUCGGCCUGAGGCAGGACUGUCUGGACACUGAAGUCAAUGGGUUCCUUCAUCCAAUGCAGGAGAAUGACGGAGAGGAUAAUCUGACUAAAGCAGGUCAUAGAGAAUUUAACUGUCAGACUUCCAAUGAGACCAAACUCAAUUAUCCUCCUGUAUGUUAUGUGAGAAGUGAAUUAAUCACCGUAUAAUGUUUAGGCUCGGGAACACACACCCUGUUCUCUCUGCUCUGUGGUACAGAGGACACCCUGCCUUCUCUUACAUGGUUCCCAAGCUCUGCAGUCAAAUACUGGCCUGAGAAGACCUGGUAAACAUCACAGUCUAUACACACACUUUCCUUUCAUGGUAAUAUUCACUUC
Long non-coding RNA from Scomber japonicus (chub mackerel), 565 nucleotides. RefSeq lists it as uncharacterized. The record is from RefSeq and is a predicted model, not a curated record. The transcript has 3 exons. NCBI's taxonomy places the organism in Eukaryota, Metazoa, Chordata, Actinopteri, Scombriformes, Scombridae.